RNAcentral lists this ribosomal RNA (301 nucleotides) under uncultured bacterium. RNAcentral's name for it is "partial 16S ribosomal RNA". It matches the Rfam family "Bacterial small subunit ribosomal RNA", at positions 509 to 807 of the family's 1533-position model. The record is from RNAcentral.
CAGCAGCCGCGGUAAUACGAAGGGUGCAAGCGUUACUCGGAAUUACUGGGCGUAAAGCGUGCGUAGGUGGUGGUUUAAGUCCGUUGUGAAAGCCCUGGGCUCAACCUGGGAAUUGCAGUGGAUACUGGAUCACUAGAGUGUGGUAGAGGAUAGUGGAAUUUCCGGUGUAGCAGUGAAAUGCGUAGAGAUCGGAAAGAACACCAACGGCGAAAGCACUCUGCUGGGCCGACACUGACACUGAGAGACGAAAGCUAGGGGAGCAAAUGGGAUUAGAUACCCCCGUAGUCCCUGUCUCUUAUAC